This 253-nucleotide ribosomal RNA is filed under the name uncultured bacterium. RNAcentral describes it as "partial 16S ribosomal RNA". It matches the Rfam family "Bacterial small subunit ribosomal RNA", at positions 524 to 776 of the family's 1533-position model. The record is from RNAcentral.
UACGAAGGGGGCGAGCGUUGUUCGGAAUUACUGGGCGUAAAGGGCGCGUAGGCGGCCUUCUAAGUCGAACGUGAAAUCCCCGGGCUCAACCCAGGAACUGCGUCCGAUACUGGAAGGCUUGAAUCCGGGAGAGGGAUGCGGAAUUCCAGGUGUAGCGGUGAAAUGCGUAGAUAUCUGGAGGAACACCGGUGGCGAAGGCGGCAUCCUGGACCGGCAUUGACGCUGAGGCGCGAAAGCCAGGGGAGCAAACGGG